UAAAGACAUUAGUAAAUUAUAUUUACAUUCCAUUGCUGAAAAUGCAAUGCCCCUUAGGCUUGCCAGGGUCUUUCUCUUAACAGAACUGAUCAUCAUACAUUACAGACUGAAUCAGCAUGUCACAACCGGGCAUUGCAGUACAUGGCAUUUCAAAAUCAUACAUUUCAGUUGCAUAGUCAUAUAUGUUAUUGACAAACAUAAGUACUUAAAACUGUGGCUCCAUUAUGC
Molecule: non-coding RNA, 228 nt
Organism: Pelobates cultripes (western spadefoot toad)
Lineage: Eukaryota; Metazoa; Chordata; Amphibia; Anura; Pelobatidae
Source: the annotation of a GenBank genome assembly